Molecule: ribosomal RNA, 274 nt
Filed under: uncultured bacterium
Lineage: Bacteria
Description: partial 16S ribosomal RNA
Rfam family: Bacterial small subunit ribosomal RNA
Source: RNAcentral
AUACAGAGGGUGCGAGCGUUAAUCGGAAUUACUGGGCGUAAAGCGCGCGUAGGCGGCUUAUUAAGUCAGAUGUGAAAUCCCCGGGCUCAACCUGGGAACUGCAUCUGAUACUGGUAAGCUAGAGUUUUGGAGAGGGAAGUAGAAUUUCAGGUGUAGCGGUGAAAUGCAUAGAGAUCUGAAGGAAUACCAGUGGCGAAGGCGACUUCCUGGUCAAAAACUGACGCUGAGGUGCGAAAGCGUGGGUAGCAAACGGAAUUAGAAACCCCAGUAGUCC